This 245-nucleotide ribosomal RNA is filed under the name uncultured bacterium. Its description in RNAcentral is "partial 16S ribosomal RNA". It matches the Rfam family "Bacterial small subunit ribosomal RNA", at positions 524 to 768 of the family's 1533-position model. The record is from RNAcentral.
UACGGAGAGUGCAAACGUUGUUCGGAUUCAUUGGGCUUAAAGGGCACGUAGGCGGUCGGCUUAGUCGGAUGUGAAAGCCCUCGGCUUAACCGAGGAACGGCAUCCGAUACUGGCCGGCUUGAGCGAAGAAGGGGAGAGCGGAACUUCUGGUGUAGCGGUGAAAUGCGUAGAUAUCAGAAGGAACGCCGGUGGCGAAAGCGGCUCUCUGGUCUUCUGCUGACGCUGAGGUGCGAAAGCCAGGGGAG